GGGGGAGUAUGGUCGCAAGGCUGAAACUUCAAGGAAUUGACAGAAGGGCACCACCAGGCGUGGAGCCUGCGACUUAAUUAGACUCAACAAGGGGAAACUUACCAGGUCCAGACAUAGCAAGGAUUGGCAGACUAAGAGUUAUUUCUUGAUUCUAUGGGUGGUUGUGCAUGGGCGUUCUUAGUUGGUGGAACGAUUUGUCUGGUUAAUUAUGUUAACGAACGAGACAUCAGUCUGCUAACUAGCUAUACGGAGCCAUCCCUCGGCAGCUAGCUUCUUAGAGGUACUAUCGCCGUUUAGGCGACGGAAGUUUGAGGCAAUAACAGGUCUGUGAUGCCCUUAGAUGUACCACACUCAUGCUGAUGUAUUCAACGAGUAUAUAGCCUUGGCCGACAGGCCCGGGUAAUCUUGGGAAAUUUCAUCUUGAUGGGGAUAGGUCAUUACAAUUGUUGGUCUUCAAAGAGAAAUGCCUAGUAAGCAUGAACCAUCAGCUCGCGUUGACUACAUCCUUGCCCUUUGUACACACCUCUCGUCGCUCCUACCAAUUGAAUGGUCCGAUGAAGUGUUUGGACUGCGUAGACGGCGGUGGUUUGCCGUCCCCGACGUCGCAAGAAGUCCGUUGAACCUUAUCAUUUAGAGGAACAAGUCAUAACAAGGUUUCCGUAGGUGAACCUGCGGAAG
Molecule: non-coding RNA, 678 nt
Filed under: Triticum aestivum (bread wheat)
Lineage: Eukaryota; Viridiplantae; Streptophyta; Magnoliopsida; Poales; Poaceae
Description: rRNA SSU_rRNA_eukarya
Rfam family: Eukaryotic small subunit ribosomal RNA
Source: Rfam by way of RNAcentral